CAGUCGCCGCGGGAAUACGGAGGGUGCAAGCGUUAUCCGGAUUUAUUGGGUUUAAAGGGUCCGUAGGCGGACUUAUAAGUCAGUGGUGAAAGCCUGUCGCUUAACGAUAGAACUGCCAUUGAUACUGUAAGUCUUGAGUAUAUUUGAGGUAGCUGGAAUAAGUAGUGUAGCGGUGAAAUGCAUAGAUAUUACUUAGAACACCAAUUGCGAAGGCAGGUUACCAAGAUAUAACUGACGCUGAGGGACGAAAGCGUGGGUAGCGAACAGGAUUAGAUACCCGGGUAGUCCCUGUCUCUUAUAC
Molecule: ribosomal RNA, 301 nt
Filed under: uncultured bacterium
Lineage: Bacteria
Description: partial 16S ribosomal RNA
Rfam family: Bacterial small subunit ribosomal RNA
Source: RNAcentral